This 490-nucleotide ribosomal RNA is filed under the name uncultured bacterium. Its description in RNAcentral is "partial 16S ribosomal RNA". It matches the Rfam family "Bacterial small subunit ribosomal RNA", at positions 30 to 507 of the family's 1533-position model. The record is from RNAcentral.
AUUGAACGCUGGCGGCAUGCCUUACACAUGCAAGUCGAACGGCAGCAUGAUCUAGCUUGCUAGAUUGAUGGCGAGUGGCGAACGGGUGAGUAAUACAUCGGAACGUGCCCUGUAGUGGGGGAUAACUAGUCGAAAGAUUAGCUAAUACCGCAUACGACCUGAGGGUGAAAGUGGGGGACCGCAAGGCCUCAUGCUAUAGGAGCGGCCGAUGUCUGAUUAGCUAGUUGGUGAGGUAAAGGCUCACCAAGGCGACGAUCAGUAGCUGGUCUGAGAGGACGAUCAGCCACACUGGGACUGAGACACGGCCCAGACGCCUACGGGAGGCAGCAGUGGGGAAUUUUGGACAAUGGGCGAAAGCCUGAUCCAGCAAUGCCGCGUGUGUGAAGAAGGCCUUCGGGUUGUAAAGCACUUUUGUCCGGAAAGAAAUGGCUCUGGUUAAUACCUGGGGUCGAUGACGGUACCGGCAGAAUAAGGACCGGCUAACUACGUG